CAGGGUAUAGCUAAACAACGUAUAGCAUCUCCUUUACGCUGAGAAGACACCCGUGCAAACCGGGUUAUCCUGA
Molecule: transfer RNA, 73 nt
Filed under: Notolabrus gymnogenis
Lineage: Eukaryota; Metazoa; Chordata; Actinopteri; Labriformes; Labridae
Description: tRNA-Val
Rfam family: tRNA
About the family: Transfer RNA (tRNA) molecules are approximately 80 nucleotides in length. Their secondary structure includes four short double-helical elements and three loops (D, anti-codon, and T loops).
Source: RNAcentral